AUGGAAGUCUUAGUAAUCACGCCCGACUGGACAGUGCCAUAUAUCGUGUACCAGCUCAGGCAGGAACUCCCAGAAGAUGAGGAUGAGGCCCGCCAGAUCGUCCAUCGAUCGAAGGCUUUCACCAUGAUCAAAGGGAAGCUUCACAGAGAAAGUGUCAUAGGAGUGGCUCAACGCUACAUCACCCCGGAAGAAGGUCGAAUGAUUUUAAACGAGAUCCACUCGGGGACCUGUGGUCACCAUGCGUCCUCUCGGGCCAUCAUGGCCAAAGCAUACCGAGCGAGAUUCUAUUGGCUGCAUGCAAAUGAGAUGGCAAAGGAUAUAGUUGACAAGUGCACGGGUUGUCAGUUCUACUCCAACAUGUCUCACAAGCCUGCAUCUGCCUUGAAGACUAUUCCACUCAUCUGGUCGUUUGCGGUCUGGGGGUUAGAUAUGGUUGGACCCUUCAACACCGGCAGAAGUGGCUUCACUCAUUUUGCUCAUAGCAGUCGACAAGUUCACCAAAUGGAUUGA
RNAcentral lists this ribosomal RNA (510 nucleotides) under Triticum aestivum (bread wheat). Its description in RNAcentral is "partial small subunit ribosomal RNA". The record is from RNAcentral. Lineage: Eukaryota; Viridiplantae; Streptophyta; Magnoliopsida; Poales; Poaceae.